CCCCCUGCUGGUCACUACACAGAAGUAGAGUCAUUUCCUCAUGGACGUCUAUGGGAGCAGAGGAGUCGCCCCCUGCUGGUCACCUGCUAGUAGUAUGGAUGUAUGGCCACGUGAGAAUUCGCCGAUGGAGCCUGUUGGGCUCCGCGUCCUCCCUCCAUCGCUAACUAUGGUAACAAACACAGUACUUUAACCCCAACGACGCUUGUCCGCUAAACCAACAAAGUACGUUUGUUGCUGGUGGCUCACGACUACGAGGAUUACGCACUAAUCCUUGUGUGGGAAUUACAGACUCUCGUUUCUAUUCGUUCUGGAUAAGAACCUUCUGGAAUGAGCAGAGUACAAGUCGGAUUGUCCAGGACUGACCACACGGGAUGAGCUCUACCACGGCUCCUUGUCCUCCUCCUCAGGAGCCUCGGGCUCAGCAGGAGAGCAAAUAGCAGCGAGACCUUCUCUUCUCCCUGGUGCCACUGCUCUGUUUCCCUUGUCUUCAGACUUUCAGGAAUCAGGAAACAUUUAUUGGCAAAAUAUGUUAAACAUACAAGGAAUUUGACUUUGCGGUUGGUGCGUGACAGUAGACAGUGUGACAAUAGACAACAAGACAGCAGCGCACAAGUAAUAAAAUAAAAUGAAUGAGUCGAGUAGGAAUCCAUCAGGAUUAAGGGACAUUUAAAAUCCCUCACUCUUUACCCCCUGCAGUGAGUCAACGCCGUCACGCUGUAACGUGUGUGUGUGUGUGUGGACCACCGAGCUCUACCGCAGCUCCGAGUGAUGAAAUACAUCUUUACCCUUUAUAUGAAUCAUCUCAAAUGCCUUUAGAUUUAAAAAAUAUUCAUUUUUAUUUUGUAAUCGUGUUUUAAUUGUCUUUGAACCAAUUGGAUGUCAGUGAUUAUGUUGCUGUCAAGGUGCCUCUCUUUACUUAACGGCAUGUUCCCGGACUUGAUGGUGAUUGGUACCUGAAUGCACCAUUAAGCAGGAGCAUCUGAAGGAGUGGUGCCUUCAGGUGCUCCUCGUGUAAUCGGGGAAGUCCUCCGCUUUAUUUUUGAAUCACGGAACCUUUUUCUUAAGGGGGAAAAAGAAGAAAUAACCGUGAAACCAGUAGAUUGUUAUUAUUAUUCAUUUAUUUGUAUUAUUAAUAAUAAUAAUAAUAAUAAUAAUAAUAAUAACAGCACCAGCUUGUUCUGCGGUGAAUUCUGGACCUGUAAAGACCCACCUGACCCCCGCGGCUCCAGACCUCCUCCCCUCGUGUGUGUGUGUGUGUGUCUGUGUGUGUUGUACAGCAGCUGUACCAUUAUUACACCUCUGGGGGGGGGGGGGCGUGAUUAUCAAUCUGCAGAAAGGGAGCGUGGGCCGGGCGAGGGGUCCGCAGUGUGAAGCCGUUGACAGGUCAAUUAUUCCACCGGCUGAACUACAGCGUGUAAUAUGUGAGCCCCCCAGGGUUAAAACACGCCACCUCCUAUGUACACAACCCCCCCUCGAGGUUCACCCCCGGAAACAGCCGUGUCACGCUGCUGCACAUGAUGAGGGCUGCGGGCAGAGGGUCAAAGGUCGGGGCAGGGGGGGGGGGCUCAGGGGUGAAUGAAGUUUCAUUAUUUUAUAACAACUUACACUCAAGAUUUAUUCCUGAUGAAGAGGAGCAGAGGCUGAUGAAGAGGAGCUGAGGCUGAUGAAGAGGAGCUGGGACUGAUGAAGAUAAGCUGAGGCUGAUGAAGAGGAGCAGAGGCUGAUGAAGAGGAGCUGGGGCUGAUGAAGAGGAGCUGGGGCUGAUGAAGAGGAGCAGAGGCUGAUGAAGAGGAGCAGAGGCUGAUGAAGAUAAGCGGAGGCUGAUGAAGAGGAGCGGAGGCUGAUGAAGAGGAGCUGGGACUCUCAUAGGUCAGGAUUUUAGCUUCAGCUGGUGCAGAUCUCCUUGUGUAAUUUUCGGUCUGCACUAUUCCAGAUGCCCCCUCCCCCUCCCCCCCCCCUCCUCGCCCCCCCAGUCCUCAGAAUUAGAACACUGAGCUUUUUAAUCGUCUUUUCUGCUCAUUGUCCCCGGUUUGAUCCCGUGACCUGGCGGCUUAGUUUCUGUCUGCGAGCCCAAUUUCCUUUUUGUCGAUAAAGGAGUUAAUUUGGAUCAGACGCCUCAGUCAGCGUCCACGUCCUCCGUCUCCUUUGUCCACACAGAGACACACGUACUUCUUCACUCAGAACAUUCUGAGACGUUUUCUACUGUUUGUGAGGCAUCAGGACGACUUCUACGGUCCAGGAGAUCUGAUCAACGGCGCUGCUCCAAACAUGCUGCGCCCAAAGAACAUCUA
Molecule: long non-coding RNA, 2291 nt
Organism: Gasterosteus aculeatus aculeatus (three-spined stickleback)
Lineage: Eukaryota; Metazoa; Chordata; Actinopteri; Perciformes; Gasterosteidae
Source: Ensembl